UGAGGAAUAUUGCGCAAUGGGGGAAACCCUGACGCAGCGACGCCGCGUGGGUGAUGAAGGCCUUCGGGUUGUAAAGCCCUGUUGGAGGGGAAGAAAGGGCGUGUAGCUAAUAUCUGCACGCAUUGACGGUACCCUCAGAGGAAGCACCGGCUAACUCCGUGCCAGCAGCCGCGGUAAUACGGAGGGUGCGAGUGUUAUUCGGAUUUACUGGGCGUAAAGAGCACGUAGGCGGAUAGGCAAGUCAGAUGUGAAAGCCCGGAGCUUAACUCCGGAACUGCAUUUGAUACUGCUUGUCUUGAGUGUGGUAGAGGGGGGUGGAAUUCCCGGUGUAGAGGUGAAAUUCGUAGAUAUCGGGAGGAACACCAGAGGCGUAGGCGGUUCUCUAGGCUAGUCCUGACACUGAGACACGAAAGCUAGGGGAGCAAACG
Molecule: ribosomal RNA, 428 nt
Filed under: uncultured prokaryote
Description: bacterial SSU rRNA
Rfam family: Bacterial small subunit ribosomal RNA
Source: RNAcentral